UGCCGCGUGAGGUGAUGAAGGCCCUAGGGUUGUAAAGCUCUUUCAGUGGGGACGAUAUGACGGUACCCACAGAAGAAGCCCCGGCUAACUUCGUGCCAGCACCCGCGGUAAUACGAAGGGGGCUAGCGUUGUUCGGAAUUACUGGGCGUAAAGCGCACGUAGGCGGAUAUUUAAGUCGGGGGUGAAAUCCCGGGGCUCAACCCCGGAACUGCCUUCGAUACUGGGUAUCUUGAGUGUGGUAGAGGUGAGUGGAAUUGCGAGUGUGGAGGUGAAAUUCAAAGAUCUUCGCAGGAACACCACUGGCGAAGGCGGCGCACUGGACCACAACUGACGCUAAGGUGCGAAAGCGUGGGGAGCAAACAGGAUUAGAUACCCUGGUAGUCCACGCCGUACACGAUGGAAGCUAGCCUUCGGGGGAUUUAUCUCUCGGUGGCGCAGUGAACGCAUUAAGCUUCCCGCCUGGGGAGUACGGUCGCAAGAUCAAAACGCAAAGGAAUUGACGGGGGCCCGCACAACCGGUGGAGCAUGUG
Molecule: ribosomal RNA, 530 nt
Filed under: Aurantimonas sp. Ri3Pt_4350
Lineage: Bacteria; Pseudomonadati; Pseudomonadota; Alphaproteobacteria; Hyphomicrobiales; Aurantimonadaceae
Description: bacterial SSU rRNA
Rfam family: Bacterial small subunit ribosomal RNA
Source: RNAcentral